RNAcentral lists this ribosomal RNA (244 nucleotides) under uncultured bacterium. RNAcentral's name for it is "partial 16S ribosomal RNA". It matches the Rfam family "Bacterial small subunit ribosomal RNA", at positions 15 to 252 of the family's 1533-position model. The record is from RNAcentral.
GAUCCUGGCUCAGGAUGAACGCUAGCUACAGGCUUAACACAUGCAAGUCGGAGGGGCAGCAUGAACUUAGCUUGCUAAGUUUGAUGGCGACCGGCGCACGGGUGAGUAACACGUAUCCAACCUGCCGAUGACUCGGGGAUAGCCUUUCGAAAGAAAGAUUAAUACCCGAUGGCAUAGUUCUUCCGCAUGGUAGAACUAUUAAAGAAUUUCGGUCAUCGAUGGGGAUGCGUUCCAUUAGGUUUGG